UUUGUAAAAAAAUGCAGACGCACCGGUCUGCUCAAGACCCCAGUGGAGGCCCACUCCCAACCUCCAGGCAAUGUGCGUAAAGCGCACAAAGCACCACACUAUAAGGAAGGAACGGCAUUAUAGAACGACGAUAGAUAAC
Thalassophryne amazonica is the source of this 139-nucleotide long non-coding RNA. RefSeq lists it as uncharacterized. Lineage: Eukaryota; Metazoa; Chordata; Actinopteri; Batrachoidiformes; Batrachoididae. The record is from RefSeq and is a predicted model, not a curated record. The transcript has 3 exons.